GUGCAGCAGGCGAGAAUUUUUCUCAAUGGGGGAAACCCUGAAGGAGCGACGCCGCGUGGAGGAUGAAGGCCUUCGGGUUGUAAACUCCUGUCAUUUGAGAACAAGGAGCCGAGAGUAACUACUUCGGCUUUGAUAGUAUCAGAAGAGGAAGGGACGGCUAACUCUGUGCCAGCAGCCGCGGUAAUACAGAGGUCCCAAGCGUUGUUCGGAUUCAUUGGGCGUAAAGGGUGCGUAGGUGGCGCCAUAAGUCAGGUGUGAAAUUUCGGAGCUUAACUCCGAAACUGCAUUUGAUACUGUGGUGCUUGAGGACUGGAGAGGAGACUGGAAUUUACGGUGUAGCAGUGAAAUGCGUAGAGAUCGUAAGGAAGACCAGUGGCGAAGGCGGGUCUCUGGACAGUUCCUGACACUGAGGCACGAAGGCCAGGGGAGCAAACGGGAUUAGAUACCCGCGUAGU
Molecule: ribosomal RNA, 455 nt
Filed under: uncultured organism
Description: bacterial SSU rRNA
Rfam family: Bacterial small subunit ribosomal RNA
Source: RNAcentral